UUAAUUGAAACCAAAAUAGAGGUAUAUUAUUGUUAAUAAUAAAAUUGAAAUUCUCCCUUCCAAUUAAA
RNAcentral lists this transfer RNA (68 nucleotides) under Stenopsyche navasi. RNAcentral describes it as "tRNA-Asn". The record is from RNAcentral. Lineage: Eukaryota; Metazoa; Arthropoda; Insecta; Trichoptera; Stenopsychidae.